UAUGGGUUUGCCACCAGCUCU
This 21-nucleotide small nuclear RNA is filed under the name Arabidopsis thaliana (thale cress). Its description in RNAcentral is "snRNA_05445". The record is from RNAcentral. Lineage: Eukaryota; Viridiplantae; Streptophyta; Magnoliopsida; Brassicales; Brassicaceae.